UUGAUCAAGCUACAAAGAGUGUAUGAUGGAUGCCUUGGUGCCAAUAGGCGAUGAAGGACGUGGUAAGCUGCGAUAAGCCACGGUUAGCGGCAAACACGCUAUGACCCGUGGAUUUCCGAAUGGGGUAACCCGACUGGAGUCAUGUCCAGUCCCCGCCGUCUGAAUACAUAGGACGGUUGGAGCGACACCCGGUGAAGUGAAACAUCUCAGUAACCGGAGGAAUAGAAAGCGAAUGCGAUUCCGUAAGUAGUGGCGAGCGAAAGCGGAACAGCCCAAACCGGGAGACUUGUCUCCCGGGGUUGUAGGACCCCGAUAUGGUAGCUCAGAGAUUAGGUGAAGCCGAUGGAAACCGGCUCCCCAGAGGGUGAGAGGCCCGUAACCGAAAAUCCGAGAGCGCCUAGGGAGUUCCUGAGUAAUGCGAUGCACGUGAAACUUCGCAUGAAACUGUGCCGACCACGGCAUAAGGCUAAAUACUAAUUGGCGACCGAUAGUGAACUAGUACCGCGAGGGAAAGGUGAAAAGCACCGCUGCGAGCGGAGUGAAAUAGAACCUGAAAUCAUACAUUUACAAGGUGUCAAAGUCUGGCAACGGACGAUGGCGUGCCUUUUGCUUAAUGAGUCUGCGAGUUAUUGUCUGUGGCAAGCCUAAGCCCUUCCGGGGUGGAGGCGAAGCGAAAGCGAGUCCGAAAUGGGCGCUCAGUCGCAGGCAGUAGACCCGAAGCCGAGGUGAUCUACCCAUGGUCAGGAUGAAGGUGCAGUAACAUGCACUGAAGGUCCGAACAGAUGGACGUUGAAAAGUCCCCUGAUGAACUGUGGGUAGGAGCGAAAGACUAAUCAAACCCGGUGAUAGCUGGUUCUCUCCGAAAUAGCUUGAGGGCUAGCCUUGUGUGCUGAUGUGUGGAGGUAGAGCACUGGAUGAACUAGGGGCCAUACCCGGCUACCGAAUUCAAUCAAACUCCGAAUGCCACACAAUGAAACACAGGAGUCAGACAGUGGGGGAUAAGCUUCAUUGUCGAAAGGGAAACAACCCAGCCCUGCGGCUAAGGUGCCUAAAUAACGUUUAGUGGAAAGGAUGUGAGGUUACUUAAACAGUGAGGAUGUUGGCUUAGAGGCAGCCACCAUUUAAACAGUGCGUAAUAGCUGACUCAUCGAGUGAUCUCGCGCCGAAAAUGAUUGGCGAUAAGCGUUAUACCGAAGCCCGGGAUGUUCGUGCGGUUCGCCGCGCGGGCGUGGUAGGAGAGCGUUCUUUGUGCGUCGAAGCGGGAGGGUAACCAACCGUGGAGCGCAAAGAAGUGAGGAUGCAGACAUGAGUAGCGAUAAGACAGGUGAAAUUCCUGUCCGCCGUAAACCCAAGGUUUCCUGGGGAAGGUUCGUCCUCCCAGGGUUAGUCGGGACCUAAGCUGAUGCCGAGAGGCGUAAGCGAUGGAUAGCAGGUUUAAUAUUCCUGCACCGGCUGAAUUUAAGCCAUCAAGGGACGCUUGUGUGGAGUCAGUCUGCCGAUCGAAAGUGGCAGUCCGUCGCAAGACGGGACGUGGAGUCUUCGGACAAAGCGGAUCUGGUAAAACAUGAGCCGAGAAAAGCCUGAUGGUGUUCGUUCGGCCGCCCGUACCCUAAACCGACACAGGUGGGUGGGUAGAAUAUACCAAGGCGCGUGAGUGAAACCUCGUUAAGGAACUCGGCAAUCUAGCCCCGUAACUUAGGAAUAAGGGGUGCCUGCUUUCGAGCAGGCCGCAGUGAAAGGGGUCAACCGACUGUUUAACAAAAACACAGCACUCUGCCAAGUCGCAAGACCAAGUAUAGGGUGUGACACGUGACCAAUGCCGAAAGAUUACGGUAAGAGGUUAGCCGCAAGGCGAAGCUUCGAGCCCAAGUCCCGGUGAAUGUCGGCCGUAACUAUAACGGUCCUAAGGUAGCGAAAUUC
Molecule: ribosomal RNA, 1920 nt
Filed under: Chthoniobacterales bacterium
Lineage: Bacteria; Pseudomonadati; Verrucomicrobiota; Spartobacteria; Chthoniobacterales
Description: partial 23S ribosomal RNA
Rfam family: Bacterial large subunit ribosomal RNA
Source: RNAcentral